Molecule: long non-coding RNA, 2169 nt
Filed under: Musa acuminata (dwarf banana)
Lineage: Eukaryota; Viridiplantae; Streptophyta; Magnoliopsida; Zingiberales; Musaceae
Description: long non-coding RNA (MACU_LNC001848)
Source: RNAcentral
UUUAGUUUCUGUUGGCGUUAUUCCAUUUCGCGUUGAACUCGUUCGAGAACCCUUCAAGCGACCGGCACAAAACCCAGCUUGAACCCACUGCGACGGAGCCGAGGAUGAAGGGACAUCGGAUUACGGUGAGAUCUGCCGGUCUGUGCGCGACGCGUCGUCUUUUGUUCUAUCCUAAAACCAUUUCGGGUUUCGUUCGAUUCAGAAGUCAUCGAUUCGAUGUUGGCUUUCUUUUAAUUGCUACGUGAUAUUGUCUAUUAUAGCGGUGGAAACUUGAAUCUGUCUUAUUCUAGUUAGUCAGUUAUAUAUCUUGUGAAAAUGUUUGGAAUUCGAAAACCAGUUGAAAGUUUUUUGGAUUAAUUUGAAGUCUUUUGGAUGAUUUGGUAGAUGAUUUUUCAGUGCCAUUCGUCAAGAUCCUUUUUUUUUUAUGAUGCCAUUGAAAGAUUAUUUUGGAAUUUAUACUGAUGGUUCUCAGAAUUAAUUGAUGUAAGUUGUGAGAACUUUACGUAGGUAGAUAUUAGAUCAGCAUUAUGCAGUUGGAAAUUUAAAUUCAUUAUUUGUUGGGAAUCUAUAUGAGGAUUUUGAGUUCAAAAAAAAUAUUAGAUCAGCAUUCUAUGUUUGCAAGUGGUGCAAAUGUUCGGAACCUCCUCUAAUUCUAUCGAUUCUCUUCCUGCUAAAUGAUGACACUGAGGUCUGGCUUCUGGUAUUCCUUGUUUUGGCUGAAGCAUCAAGGAUUAGGGGUGAUACCAUUUAGAAGCUGAGCAUAAAAGGAAAGGUUCUCGCCAAUCUGGAAUCUGGAUGGGUCAAUUUACAUGGCCUUACUUUUGGAAGCAUAAAGGUUAUUAUUUGAUUGCUCAACUUUCACCUAGUUUGCAAAGGAGCAGUCUUACUAUGAUGCCAAGGUUCACCCUCUAUUUGCUGGAAGCCAAUUUUUGCCUUAAAUUAGGGAACUCAAAUGAAGGUGAAUACCAGAAGCCUAAUUCUUAGGAGGCUGGUCUGUCUUAGGAGGAGCUCUGUAUCAAAAUCUGAUUUGAACCUAAGUUUUAUGCCUUGCUAAUUCGACUUUAUUUGCUCACAUAAUUCAACAUUUUAUUUUUACCCAUAAUUGCCAGAUAUAUAGUUUGUCUCCUUGUUGCUUAACUUUCCUAAGAUAAUCUUGGUCUUUAUUCAUCUGCUUCUUUUUCAGAGUGCCCUUACAUUUGAAGGAUGUUUGGUUGGAACAGAGUUUUAUGGAGACUCAUAGUUGUUAGUUUCCUGUUGAGCUGCUGAGCUGAGACUCGUAGACUUGUCAUAAGAUUUGAAUAGGUUAUCACACAGCAAUAGUCCCUCAUGUAAUAGAUUCUCUAUUCCCAACAUUGUUCCACUUAAUUUAAUGGCAUGGAUACACUUCACGUCACACAAUAAAAUUUAAGCUCAGGAAAAGAAAUCGCAUCUCAUCUUAAUGUGCUCACAUACAAAUCUGGAGACCUGUUUCAGUUACCAAUUAAGCCAAAAUGAGACCAUAGUUGAAUCAAAGUUUCAGCAACAAAAUGGUAAAAAGAAAGGGUCAGCUGCUAAUCCCUGUUUAACAAAUCAUUAGAACGUAAAAUAGAUGUCACACCAAUUCCGCAUUAAAUUGAAAUAAGUCCUGCAUUAUCAUUUUGGUGAGAAACUUGUAUAUGAGAAGAGAAGUCAAGAAAUCCAUGGUAGGGGCCAUAGAAUCACUAGUCCAGCAUUCGCAUUCUCUGACAGUAGCCACUAACUUGAAAAACUCGAUCGAUCGACGACAACGUCAACGUUGUAGGGGAAUGCCAAAAUUAAGCAAUACCAAGUUUCAGCAUAGGCUAUAUAUAUUACAUCUCACAUCUAUCCCCACCCUUUCUAGUACCAAAUAGAUAAGAGGAGCUUUACAAGAACCACAAGUUACUAGAAACAAAAAGAGAGCACUUGUGACUCUGAGGUGGCUAUUAUGCUUUCUCCUACCAUACCAUGUCUUUCAGGUAUAUAACUAUCAUUGUUCUAAAGCGAAGUUAGUCACCUGGGAGGGGGUUCUGAUGCCUGACUAUUGUUUAAAGCAGGAUUGGAGGAGGACGGGAGAGCUCCAUUUUCCUGGGGAGGGGCUACACCCCAUUUUGAGUCUGGAUCAGAUGGCUCUACCACAUGAACUGCACCGUCAUUCAUCCCGAGUGCUAU